GAUGAACGCUGGCGGCGUGCCUAACACAUGCAAGUCGAACGGAGUCCAGCCUUUAAGACCUUCGGGUCAAAGAGGGGAAGACUGAGUGGCGGACGGGUGAGUAACACGUGGGCAACCUGGCUCAUAGAGGGGGAUGACAGAGAGAAAUUUCUGCUAAUACCGCAUAAGCACACACUGCCGCAUGGCAGAGGGUGAAAAGAGAAUCGCUAUGAGAUGGACCCGCGUCUGAUUAGCCAGUUGGCAGGGUAAGAGCCUACCAAAGCGACGAUCAGUAGCCGAUCUGAGAGGAUGAACGGCCACAUUGGGACUGAGACACGGCCCAAACUCCUACGGGAAGCAGCAGUGGGGGAUAUUGCACAAUGGGGGGAACCCUGAUGCAGCGACGCCGCGUGAGUGAAGAAGUAUUUCGGUAUGUAAAGCUCUAUCAGCAGGGAAGAUAAUGACAGUACCUGAAUAAGAAGCCCCGGCUAACUACGUG
RNAcentral lists this ribosomal RNA (478 nucleotides) under uncultured bacterium. RNAcentral's name for it is "partial 16S ribosomal RNA". It matches the Rfam family "Bacterial small subunit ribosomal RNA", at positions 28 to 507 of the family's 1533-position model. The record is from RNAcentral.